RNAcentral lists this ribosomal RNA (274 nucleotides) under uncultured bacterium. RNAcentral describes it as "partial 16S ribosomal RNA". It matches the Rfam family "Bacterial small subunit ribosomal RNA", at positions 523 to 796 of the family's 1533-position model. The record is from RNAcentral.
AUACGGAGGGUGCAAGCGUUAUUCGGAAUCACUGGGCGUAAAGGACGCGUAGGCGGGUUGGCAAGUCAGAUGUGAAAUCCUACAGCUUAACUGUAGAACUGCAUUUGAAACUGCCGACCUAGAGUAUGGGAGGGGGAGAUGGAAUUAGUGGUGUAGGGGUAAAAUCCGUAGAUAUCACUAGGAAUACCGAAAGCGAAGGCGAUCUCCUGGAGCAUAACUGACGCUAAGGCGUGAAAGCGUGGGGAGCGAACAGGAUUAGAAACCCCAGUAGUCC